RNAcentral lists this ribosomal RNA (479 nucleotides) under uncultured bacterium. Its description in RNAcentral is "bacterial SSU rRNA". It matches the Rfam family "Bacterial small subunit ribosomal RNA", at positions 8 to 507 of the family's 1533-position model. The record is from RNAcentral.
AGAGUUUGAUCAUGGCUCAGGACGAACGCUGGCGGCGUGCCUAACACAUGCAAGUCGAACGAGGUCCAUCCUUCGGGAGAAGACCUAGUGGCGAACGGGUGAGUAACACGUGAAGAACCUGCCCCGAAGACCGGGAUAACCCUCCGAAAGGAGAGCUAAUACCGGAUACCCCCACGAACCGCAUGGUUUGGUGAGGAAAUGGAUUCCGCUUCGGGAGGGCUUCGCGGCCUAUCAGCUAGUGUGGGGUAACGGCCCACCAAGGCAUCGACGGGUAGCUGGUCUGAGAGGACGAUCAGCCACACUGGGACUGAGACACGGCCCAGACUCCUACGGGAGGCAGCAGUGGGGAAUCUUGCGCAAUGGGCGAAAGCCUGACGCAGCAACGCCGCGUGGGGGAUGAAGGCUCUCGGGUUGUAAACCCCUUUCAGCAGGGACGAAUCAAGACGGUACCUGCAGAAGAAGCCCCGGCUAACUACGUG